UUUAUUUAAGAGUUUGAUCCUGGCUCAGGAUGAACGCUGGCUGUGUGCCUAAUACAUGCAUGUCGAGCGGGGUUCCCUCGGGAACCUAGCGGCGAAUGGGUGAGUAACACGUGCUUAAUCUGCCUCUUAGAUUGGAAUACCAAAUGGAAACAUUUGCUAAUGCCGGAUACGCAUGGAACCGCAUGGUUCCGUUGUGAAAGGAGCCUUUAAAGCUCCGCUAAGAGAUGAGGGUGCGGAACAUUAGUUAGU
Molecule: ribosomal RNA, 249 nt
Filed under: [Mycoplasma] falconis
Lineage: Bacteria; Bacillati; Mycoplasmatota; Mycoplasmoidales; Metamycoplasmataceae
Description: Mycoplasma falconis partial 16S ribosomal RNA
Rfam family: Bacterial small subunit ribosomal RNA
Source: RNAcentral